This is a long non-coding RNA of Bos indicus x Bos taurus (hybrid cattle), 726 nucleotides long. The record is from Ensembl. NCBI's taxonomy places the organism in Eukaryota, Metazoa, Chordata, Mammalia, Artiodactyla, Bovidae.
GAGAUGGUGUGAAGAGUAUGACAAGAAAUGGGUGUGUGUCUCUGUUUUGUGAGGUGCAGAAUGGAAGUGGAAAAAACGACAGAAUAAAUAAGGCUCUCAGGUAUUUACUAGUUUGGAAAUAAAACCACGGUUUGAAUCCAAUAGGUCAAUUACAUAUAAAUACAGUGUGGAAGGCAGAUAGCCAGAAAUAACAGAUUUUAUUCUCCAGAGGGAAAGGGAGAAUUAACCAGAGCAGAAGCUUCUGGAACAAGGAUACUCCAUUAGAUAAGAACGAGACUCCGCUCCUUUGUAAAAGUGGCAUAUAUGGGAAGAAUCAGAAAGCUUUCUCAAAGUUUGGGAAAAUGGUAAGGUUGGGGAAUGUCCGAGAAUUGCCAUGCCAUCUGAAUCAUUAUAACCUUGCAUGUACCUUAUUGAAUAAGUCUAGAGCUGGCGUUAACCUCUUUUUGACCACUGGAAUGUACUGACCUACGUUUACACAUCCCCCAGAGAGAACUUAACUGCUUUAAUCAUCCUUUUAACUUUAUUUCUUUGUAAAAGGCUUACUAGAGAGUGAUAAAAAUUUCACUCUUAAACUGUGCCUUUGAUGGAUUUAAUGAUCAAGCACAUCUGAAGGGUUAUUGUUGAAUGAUUUUAAGUCAAAAAUAUAUUUAUUUGACAUCAGACAACUGUUCUAUUUUAUGUGCUAUCUACUUUAUUAAAAAUAUCUUCUGAGCUAUUAUAAUGGGU